AUUGAACGCUGGCGGCAGGCCUAACACAUGCAAGUCGAGCGGACGAAGGGAGCUUUCUCCUGGAUUCAGCGGCGGACGGGCGAGUAAUGCCUAGGAAUCUGCCUGGUCGUGGGGGAUAACGUCCGGAAACGGGCGCUAAUACCGCAUACGUCCUGAGGGUGAAAGGGGGGGAUCUUUGGACCUCACGCUAUCAGAUGAGCCUAGGUCGGUUUAGCUGGUUGGUGGGGUAAAGCCCUACCAAGGCGACGAUCCGUAACUGGUCUGAGGGGAUGACCAGUAAACCUGAACUUAGGCACCGGUCCAGCCUCUUACGGGGGGCGCAGGUGGGAAAUCUUCGCAAAUGGGCGAAAGCCUACUCAAGACAUGCCGCGUGUGUGAAGAAGGUCUUCGGACUGUAAAGCACUUUAAGUUGGGAGGAAGAGUAGUAAGUUAACUCUUUGCUGUUUUACCGUUCCAACAGAAUAAGCACCGGCUAACUUCGUG
RNAcentral lists this ribosomal RNA (483 nucleotides) under uncultured bacterium. Its description in RNAcentral is "partial 16S ribosomal RNA". It matches the Rfam family "Bacterial small subunit ribosomal RNA", at positions 30 to 507 of the family's 1533-position model. The record is from RNAcentral.